This 381-nucleotide ribosomal RNA is filed under the name uncultured bacterium. RNAcentral's name for it is "bacterial SSU rRNA". It matches the Rfam family "Bacterial small subunit ribosomal RNA", at positions 29 to 391 of the family's 1533-position model. The record is from RNAcentral.
AAUGAACGCUGGCGGCGUGCUUAACACAUGCAAGUCGUGCGCGAAGGAGGCUUCGGUCUCUGGAGAGCGGCGAACGGGUGAGUAACACGUGGGUAAUCUACCUGGGAGCGGGGGAGUAACCUAGGGGAAACGUACGGGCGUAAUACCGCAUACGUUGGUUGGGCUACGGUUCGACCAAGAAAGACUGGCCUCUGCUUGCAAGCUAGCGCUCCUGGAGGAGCCCGCGGCUGAUUAGCAGUUGGUGAGGUAAAGGCUCACCAAGGCAUCGAUCAGUAGCCGGCCUGAGAGGGUGAUCGGCCACACUGGGACUGAGACACGGCCCAGACUCCUACGGGAGGCAGCAGUGGGGAAUAUUGGACAAUGGGCGCAAGCCUGAUCCAG